CCGACCGCUGGCGGCGUGCUUAACACAUGCAAGUCGAACGGAAAGGCCCUGCUUUUGUGGGGUGCUCGAGUGGCGAACGGGUGAGUAACACGUGAGUAACCUGCCCUUGACUUUGGGAUAACUUCAGGAAACUGGGGCUAAUACCGGAUAGGAGCUCCUGCUGCAUGGUGGGGGUUGGAAAGUUUCGGCGGUUGGGGAUGGACUCGCGGCUUAUCAGCUUGUUGGUGGGGUAGUGGCUUACCAAGGCUUUGACGGGUAGCCGGCCUGAUAGGGUGACCGGCCACAUUGGGACUGAGAUACGGCCCAGACUCCUACGGGAGGCAGCAGUGGGGAAUAUUGCACAAUGGGCGGAAGCCUGAUGCAGCAACGCCGCGUGCGGGAUGACGGCCUUCGGGUUGUAAACCGCUUUCGCCUGUGACGAAGCGUGAGUGACGGUAAUGGGUAAAGAAGCACCGGCUAACUACGUG
Molecule: ribosomal RNA, 467 nt
Filed under: uncultured bacterium
Lineage: Bacteria
Description: partial 16S ribosomal RNA
Rfam family: Bacterial small subunit ribosomal RNA
Source: RNAcentral